This 468-nucleotide ribosomal RNA is filed under the name uncultured bacterium. RNAcentral describes it as "partial 16S ribosomal RNA". It matches the Rfam family "Bacterial small subunit ribosomal RNA", at positions 28 to 507 of the family's 1533-position model. The record is from RNAcentral.
GACGAACGCUGGCGGCGUGCUUAACACAUGCAAGUCGAACGGAAAGGCCCUGCUUUUGUGGGGUGCUCGAGUGGCGAACGGGUGAGUAACACGUGUGUAACCUGCCCUUGACUUUGGGAUAACUUCAGGAAACUGGGGCUAAUACCGGAUAGGAGCUCCUGCUGCAUGGUGGGGGUUGGAAAGUUUCGGCGGUUGGGGAUGGAAUCGCGGCUUAUCAGCUUGUUGGUGGGGUAGUGGCUUACCAAGGCUUUGACGGGUAGCCGGCAUGAGAGGGUGACCGGCCACAUUGGGACUGAGGUACGGACCAGACUCCUACGGGAGGCAGCAGUGGAGAAUAUUGCACAAUGGGCGGAAGCCUGAUGCAGCAACGCCGCGUGCGGGAUGACGGCCUUCGGGUUGUAAACCGCUUUCGCCUGUGACGAAGCGUGAGUGACGGUAAUGGGUAAAGAAGCACCGGCUAACUACGUG